This 26-nucleotide ribosomal RNA is filed under the name Heliocharis amazona. RNAcentral's name for it is "partial 28S ribosomal RNA". Lineage: Eukaryota; Metazoa; Arthropoda; Insecta; Odonata; Dicteriadidae. The record is from RNAcentral.
UUCACGCGCCGACCUCAGAGCAGGUG